GGUGAGAUGAUGCCAAAACAAAGCCAUCUCAGAGACAUUUGGAAUAUUUGGGCAGAGAAGCGUAGGUAGUUGAUGAGGAAGACAAUUUCUAGUUAUUCAACACACUGUGGCUUAGUGUUGUGAGCAAACGAGGCCAAUAUAUACAGAGAGUUUCUUUGUUCAGAUAUUUGUAAACGGAAGUUUCCUGGGCUUUCAUGUAAUAAACUUGGCGAGGACAGUGGGCCUUUGAGGAAAGUUACAUAAAUUGUUUCUUUCUCAGAAGGUGAGGAUGAAGAAGAAGAAGAGGAAGAAGAUGGUGAGGAGGAGGAAUUUGAAGAGGAGGAGGAGGAUGAAGAAGGAGAAGAAGGAGAAGAUGAAGAAGAUGAAAUUAGUAUAGAGGAGGAAGAAUUUGAACGUGACGGAGAGGUGGAGGAUGAAGAAGAGGAGGAUGAGGAUGAAGGGAACUUGAAGCAGCAUAUAUGUGAUUCCUAGAUAGCUUUCCAGACACUGAUCAAAUCAGAUCUGUUUAGCUUGAACAAGGUAGAGAAUUCUUAUAUCUUCAUAAGUCCCUUCACAACAAGCAUUUUAUUUUAAGACACUGUGUGGCCAUUAUUAUCACCUUACUUACAGACGCUUCAGAAGUAUGAGAAUAUCGUAGAAGCAGAUGUAGAAACGCUCGGUUUAAUUAUUUAAGCAAGGAAGCCAGUUUAUGGUUCAAUGCAUCAGUUAAAUUGCAGGUUAUUAUAAAAGGAUGUUAAAUAAAUUGAUGGAAAUCAA
This 756-nucleotide long non-coding RNA is filed under the name Salvator merianae (Argentine black and white tegu). Its description in RNAcentral is "lncRNA (ENSSMRG00000008305.1)". Lineage: Eukaryota; Metazoa; Chordata; Lepidosauria; Squamata; Teiidae. The record is from RNAcentral.